Molecule: long non-coding RNA, 1391 nt
Filed under: Malus domestica (apple)
Lineage: Eukaryota; Viridiplantae; Streptophyta; Magnoliopsida; Rosales; Rosaceae
Description: long non-coding RNA (MDOM_LNC004378)
Source: RNAcentral
CUAGGAUAAAUUUUACAUAACAUAUUCUUGUCCAAAAUUAAAAUAUACUAGUAUAGUAUUUGUAUAUGCAAAAACUAAGAAGACAUACAUACAAGUAUGAAAAAUGUGAAAGAAUAUAUAAACACUCGUGAUUUAUCAUUAUUCCUUCACGAAUAGAUAAUUGUUACACUUAUAUUAUCGUUUAGAUUUUUAAAAUCCUUCAAACCCUCAUGAAUAAUGUUUUUUAUUUGAGGGCAAAAUUAAUAAUAAUUAUUGUAGAAGUGUAAAAAAUGUAAAAAAAUAUAUAUACAAUCACUCAUAUAUAAAAAAUGUAAAUACUUUAAAUUAAAGAUCAAAUUUAUUCAUUACAUUCUUAUAGGGUCGAGGAGUGUAUAUGUACAAAAUCAUCAAAAUCGGAGCUAAAAUAACCGUUAAAUUGUGAUUUUUCGUUUAUAACCGUCGAAAACUUUUGUUCCGUUACGUAAUCUCUGAAUGUUUGUUUUUUACAAUUUUUUACGUUUGCAAUCUCGGAAUGUGUACAAAUAAGUAUGACGGUUGGAUCGUUGAAAAAUGUUUCGUAGAAUACAUAUUGCAUCAAAACGGUAGAUUAAACAAACACUUAGAGUUAAUAUUAUACUUCUAUUAAGUAUAAAAUAAGUUUUUGUGGUAUCCACUAGUGUAAAUACUUUAAAUUAAAGAUCAAAUUUAUUCAUUACAUUCAUAUAGGGUCGAGGAGUGUAUCUGUAAAAAAUCAUCAAAAUCGGAGCUAAAAUAACCGUUAAAUUGUGAUUUUUUUGUUUACAACAUUUGAUAACUUUUGUUCCGUUAUGUAAUCUCUGAAUGUUUGUUUUUUACGAUUUUUUACGUAUGAAAUCUUGCAAUGUGUACAAAUAAGUUUGACGGUUGGAUUGUUAAAAAAAGUUUUGUAGAAUGCAUAUUACAUCAAAAUAGUAGAUUAAACAAACACUUAAAGUUAAUAUUAUACUUCUAUUAAGUAUAAAAAAGAUUUUGUGGUAUCCAUUAGUGUAAAUACUUUAAAUUAAAGAUCAGAUUUAUUCAUUACAUUCUUAUAGGGUCGAGGAGUGUAUCUGUAAAAAAUCAUCAAAAUCGGAGCUAAAAUAAUCGUUAAAUUGUGAUUUUUCGUUUAUAACCGUCGAAAACUUUUGUUCCGUUACGUAAUCUCUGAAUGUUUGUUUUUUACGAUUUUUUAUGUAUGCGAUCUCAAAAUGUGUACAAAUAAGUUUGACGGUUGGAUCGUUGAAAAAAGUUUCGUAGAAUGCAUAUUGCGUCAAAACAAUAGAUUAAACAAACACUUGAGUUAAUAUUAUACUUCUAUUAAGUAUAAAAUAAGUUUUGUGGUAUCCACUAGUGUAAAUACUUUAAAUUAAAGAUCAAAUUUAUUCAUUACAUUC